RNAcentral lists this ribosomal RNA (477 nucleotides) under uncultured bacterium. Its description in RNAcentral is "partial 16S ribosomal RNA". It matches the Rfam family "Bacterial small subunit ribosomal RNA", at positions 28 to 506 of the family's 1533-position model. The record is from RNAcentral.
GAUGAACGCUAGCGGCAGGCCUAACACAUGCAAGUCGAGGGAGAAGCCCUUUCGGGGGCAGAAACCGGCGCACGGGUGCGUAACGCGUAUGCAACCUACCUUUCACAGGGGGAUAGCCCGAAGAAAUUUGGAUUAAUACCCCAUAAUAUUAUUGGAUGGCAUCAUUUGAUAAUUAAAACUGCGGUGGUGAAAGAUGGGCAUGCGUCCUAUUAGCUAGUUGGAGUGGUAACGGCACCCCAAGGCUACGAUAGGUAGGGGUCCUGAGAGGGAGAUCCCCCACACUGGUACUGAGACAGGGACCAGACUCCUACGGGAGGCAGCAGUGAGGAAUAUUGGUCAAUGGUCGGAAGACUGAACCAGCCAUGCCGCGUGCAGGAAGAAUGCCUUAUGGGUUGUAAACUGCUUUUAUAUGGGAAGAAUAAGGCGUACGUGUACGUUGAUGACGGUACCAUAUGAAUAAGCAUCGGCUAACUCCGU